UUUAAUCGGAAAUUUACUUAGGCGGGUAAAAGCGCACCGCCGGGCGGGUUUGUUUCAAGUUUGGAAUGAUGAUAUUACUCCCGGGCCUUUACCUGGGGAGCUGCCAUCCCAACGAACUGGCCAACUAGGGUAUUCGUAGGAGGAAGGGUAGGAAUUUCUCAGGUGGUAGCCGGCGAAAAUGCGUAGAGAUCUGGGGGAAUACCCGCGGGGGAGGGCGGGCCUCCUGGGGGAAGACUGACGCUCACGUGUGAAAACCGUGGGGAGCCACAGGGUAUAUAUCCCCCGGUAGUCCCGCUGUAUAAGAGUUCUAGUUUGGGGUGUGCCCCUUGAGGUGUGGCUUUCGAAGAUAACGCGAUAUAUCGCCCCCCCGGGGAGACGGCCGCAAGGUUAAAACUCAAAUAAAUUGCGGGGGCCCCGCACAAGGGGGGGGGCAUGGGUUUAAUUCGAUGCAACGCGAAGACCUUACCUACUCUUGACAUCCAGCGAAUCCUGUAGAGAUACGGGAGUGCCUUCGGGAACGCUGAGACAGGUGCUGCAUGGCUGUCGUCAGCUCGUGUUGUGAAAUGUUGGGUUAAGUCCCGCAACGAGCGCAACCCUUAUCCUUUGUUGCCAGCGGUUCGGCCGGGAACUCAAAGGAGACUGCCAGUGAUAAACUGGAGGAAGGUGGGGAUGACGUCAAGUCAUCAUGGCCCUUACGAGUAGGGCUACACACGUGCUACAAUGGCGUAUACAAAGAGAAGCGAACUCGCGAGAGCCAAGCGGACCUCAUAAAGUACGUCGUGAGUCCGGAUUGGAGUCUGCAACUCUGAUCUCCAUGAAGUUCGGAAUCAGCUACGUAAUCGUGGAUCAGAUAUGCCCCGGUGCAUCAGGCAGUUCCCCAGCCAUGUACACACCCGCCCGUCACUCCAUGCGGAGAAAGCAACAAAACAACCUGGUAGCGCACGACUCCAUAGGGCGCCACC
Molecule: ribosomal RNA, 962 nt
Filed under: Edwardsiella tarda
Lineage: Bacteria; Pseudomonadati; Pseudomonadota; Gammaproteobacteria; Enterobacterales; Hafniaceae
Description: bacterial SSU rRNA
Rfam family: Bacterial small subunit ribosomal RNA
Source: RNAcentral